This is a long non-coding RNA of Tympanuchus pallidicinctus (lesser prairie-chicken), 12016 nucleotides long. RefSeq lists it as uncharacterized. The record is from RefSeq and is a predicted model, not a curated record. NCBI's taxonomy places the organism in Eukaryota, Metazoa, Chordata, Aves, Galliformes, Phasianidae. The transcript is spliced from 4 exons.
UGCAGGGCUGAGCUCUGCCUUCAAGGCACUGACUCCUCUAAGAUUCACUCAGUGCAGAGAAGAGCAAUAGACAUUUGUCAGAUGAAUGGAGCACUCUUCUGUCUAGACUCCUUGUCAAGCCAAGCACAACCUUAAAACAAAUGACUGCAACAGGCUAACACUGACUCUGGGAUGUUAACAGGAGGACAGACAAGGCUAGGGAGGGAUUUUGAGUUUAUGUGUUCGGUUUUUUUUUCUUGGCACAUAAUGUGUGCUUUCAGCUGUUUGUGUACAUUUGAUGGUGCAGGAUUUUGCCCACCAGAACAGCAAGCUCAGCAUUGCCUCCCACGGGGGUGGGAAAUCCAUUACUCAGGCAGCAGUGUUGUGCCUGUGAUUGGGAUGCUUUCACCACAUCUGCCUGUGAUCAUCAAUCAAGGUCUUCAUUUCUUUGCAGGCUGAGAAGUGAGGUUGGAAGAAGUCUUCUGGAGCUCCUAUUAGCAGAAAGGGACUAGGAAAUGUAAGCAGGACAGUUCAGAAGCCCAUAGAGAAGAGAUGUGAUAAAAAGGGAAUAGCUGAAGUACUGAAAUGAUGUCAUCCCUCAGUAUUUCCCAAGCUCAUCUUGACUGCUGUGGCUGAGUUGCUUAACAUGAUCUUGGCAGAACAGUGAUGUAACCAUGGGCCGGUGACUCUGAAGGCUUAAAACAGACAGAAAGUCUUGGACAGAAAUAACUGCCCUCCAUCACUGCAGCAUCAUGGAGGGGGGAAGGUGUGGGAAUUAAACCAGACUUGGAAAGCAAACUGACUUCCAUCAGAACACUCUUAUUGGACACGAAGAAAGAAAAAAUCUCUUUAGCCACAUCAGUGAAGCAAUGUCCAAGUAUUCUCUUUAAUCUUCCUUAAUCAUGGUGUUGCUGAUUAACAUUUGAAUAGAGCUUCUAAUUAGAAAGAAGAGACACAUGCAACCUUACCCUGCUGAGGAGGUGAAUUCUCAUCUCCUACCACUCAUCCUUGCAUACGCUAUGCUGAUUAGAGCUUGAAUGGGACAAUGAUUAAAGAGGCCACUGCCACUUUGCAACCUCUCAAUAGCAUAGCUACAUUCAAGGAUUUAUUUUCAACUAAGACUUGAAUAAAUGUUUUGCAAAUGUGAGCCACUCCUGCCAAAUGGAAAGAGCUUUUAAACGCUUCUGAAGCACUAUUCCAUCUUGUUCCUUCCUUUAUCGCACUAAUCUCUGCCUGGGUAGAACGUGGCCUGUUCGACCAUAAUGUGUUUCAAUUAGGAUCAUGGUUUAAGCAUAUGUAUUUCAUUUGUUCAUCUACUUCAUUAUUCAAAAAGCAGCUGAAACCUGGUGAAAACCUGAAAAGUAUGCUAUUGAAAAAUCACUUCUGCCUUUUUGGACAGAAGUGUUUUGCUUAAGAUCUUCCAUCCAUUAUAUAAUUUAUUACACUUAUUAAUUUGCAGUAGGUCUAACCAAAGACAGGGCUCUGUUGUAGUAGUAACUAUCUAUAUUCAAAGAAGACCACAGCCCUAAUCUCCAAAGAGUUUUUGAUCCCUGCUGGAGUCAAUUUAUAUCAAUCCACUUAGGCUGCUUUUCUAUGACUGCCCUCACUGCAGGGCAGGGGAACAAAAUUAACUUGACCUAAGGCUUGGAAAUGGGAGUGUAGCCAUGUACUCAAUAGAAUCUUUGGGCUACAAAAUCCUGGCAGGUGAACCCCGGCUUCAAUUUCUAAAGAAAUGGCAUCCCCCAGCUGUUUAGUUAUCGGCCAAAGCUGCCCUCCCUCAACUUAGCAUUGCAGCCUCUUCUGCAUGCGUCUGUCUUGCAACCGGUGCUCUACAUUCCUCAGACUGUCCUCAUUACCCCAAAUAGCACCACAAAACCGUCCCUGUCUGAGAACUAAAGAUGUUUUUAACAAAUGGGAUCUUGACAAUAUUUUUCAUCCAGGUAUCCUACUUGUGAUACAAGUGGACUCAUUAUGAGGAGGCAUGGAGCUCUCGUAGCUUGAAGUUGUUAUCAGACUGGGUGGAACAGAGGCAAAAGCAGGUGAAAAGGCAUAGGCAAAGCUUGCAGUGUCAUAUCAGUGAGUUUGAUUGAACUCUGGUGUAGAUCUAGAGAGAUUUUAUGUGGAACUAUUGAAAUAAAUCCUAAGAGACCCUUCCCUUCAGAAGCGCCUUUUCAGUAGUGAGCUAUUUAUCUAAAUAGGUAAAAAGCCAAUUAACCAGAUUUUUUUUUAGCCCAUAAAAAAAAAAAACAAACAACUUUUUUGUGUUUUACAAAUAAAUUGUGAAUGGUAGAGCUUGAGAAUGGAGAUCCAGCUUUUGCUGUUCUGGAAAUACUGCCUGGGCCCAGUCUGUGUGAAAGCUGAGGGAAAGCCUGCUCAGCUCAUCCCAUCCUCUCCCAUUCUCAGGUGUGCGCAAGAGUCACCAGCACCAAGUCAGCUCUGAAAAUCUCAGACGUGGCUGCACACCCAGUGCAUCUCCCUUGGCUCUGCCAUGAGGGCUGGUUUGCAGGCGCCAGUGCUGCUGGGCCUUCCCACCUUGAACACUCUCAGCAGUAAAUAAUGGUGGUUCGCCUCUUUGGCAUUUAUUUUGUCUGACAUCUGGGUGGAUUUACCGAGUAUCACUACACCUUUGAAAGCAGCAGAGUGAAAGAUGAGCCUGACAGCCUGUAUCACCCAGAUCAAGCUUAAUUCAGAGCCACAGCCUAUACAUCUACAAAAAGCUCUCAGGAAUGUCCUAAGCUAACUGGGAGGUGACCUCUACCAGCUGUGUUGUUCAUCAGGACCUGAUAGCCACACUGCUGGGGUUCAUCAAGGAGGGAAUGGGCUGUCUGGUCCGUUGCUUGGUGCCACAGGACCUCCAGAUGGCCACAGAUCUCAGCAACUGUCAGAGUGAAACAGAACAUCACUCAAUUGAUGCGACGUUCAGCUUCCCGCAGCAGCAGGAAGAGUGGAGAGAGAAAAACAAGGCAGGUGAAGAGGGAAACAGGUGAAAGGGCCUUUUUGAAGAACACAGAAAGCAUAAUGAGGUGGCAUCCACGCAUGCUUAGAGCUUAUCUGCAGAAGCCAGAGUUUGCACAGCAGUAGGAAUUGCUGUAUAUAUGCAUAGCAAGAAGGGACAGGCAGGAACAACUCUCUAAGUUAAAGUGAGGUGAGGAGAGCUGUUGCUCUCCACGUCCAGCUAAAGAAAACAGGAAGGUCUGUGCCUCAACUGUUCUGCACCAAACCAUGUUUUUAGGGUCAAAUUUGCUCUCUUUAGGGAGGAAUGUGUUUCCAGCCCAUGUUAACAGGAAGCUAAAUCACUGCCCACCCACGCUGAGUGAAUACAAUAGAUUGGUCAGGGGCACUCUUGCUUUUAAAAGUAAAAAAUAACGCCACGUGUAAUGUAAAGGACAAAGUUGAGCGCUGAAGGCCAGUGACUCAUACACAAUAUAAAUUCAAGUGUUCUAACAGAGCAAUAGUGAACCAAAUUGCUACAAAAUGCAGGGCAUGGUAGGUAGCAGUAGGGCACUGAAGAUGAAGCUCGCAGGGUGAUUUUAACAGGUUUUGAAAGUUGCUGCCAUAGCUUGUUUUUGAACACGGUGGUUCUGUUUGGGUUCACAAGAGUGUCAGGCCUUCUGUGAGCUGAGGAGUGUAUUCAGUUUAUAGUCAUCGUACUAACCUAAUAAAUUGGUAAAGGUCCAGAAUAUUGCAUAUAAUAAUAAUUAAUAAUAAUACAGUUUAAUUACGCAGAAGCCAUUGUGAGCAGAGCAACCCUCCCAGGGGCAAAUGCAGCCAGAGGAAGGAUGGAGGACCUGCAAGAAACUGGUGUUAAAAUAGCUGUUCUGUUGUUACUUCGUUGAGGUGUUAGAUAUAUAUGUAUGUCAGCUUGGUGAGUCACUUGGUACAAGAUGUUAAAAACACAACGAAAUGCCUUAAGAACAGAAUUACAGGUACCCCAGAGAGAGGGAACAAAUGAGUGCACCUAGGUACUGUGGGGCAUUUUUUAUUAAAUCCAAGUGCAGAAAUCCCCAUGUAAGGGCAUUUCUCUGGUCUCUCAUCUGCAGGAGGCUCAGAUAAGCUGACAAUCCAUUUGUUUUCCUGAACAGUAAGUAGAGAAAGCAGUGAGAGCCAGUGCCCAUUGGAAAGAGCUGCUCCCAGGCUUUGGCAUCUCUAUACAGCCUGUUACGAUAAGAAAAGUGAUUAGAGAAAGCCCAGCUGGCCCUGCCCAUCAUUACAGCUGGAUCUUAAUAGCAGGAGAAGAUGGAACUAAACUUGUAGGGCUGACUGUGGGUGAUCCUAUUGCUCAUGGGACUAGUUAUUUCUUUGGCAUAUUGGCUGAUUUUGGUACAAGGGAGAAGUAAUGGUUUUGGCUUUGGUCUUGCUGUAGCCAGUCCAGCUGCUUGGGUUCGAGGUGGGAAGGGGACGUUUUUAUUCCCAUAUUCUAUGCCACUUUACCAGGCACGCUUUCAGACCUAAUUAAGCUUAGCGUUAUCAUUGUUUUUAUCACAUUAAGAUCCCACUUGGCUCUCAGCAGCACAGACCACAAAGUCAACACUGCAUCUUUAAACAGAAACAACAGAUUUUGGUUCAAUUAAAAAUUCAUUAAAAUGUAAAUUAGUUUGUAGGGUUUUUUUCCUGCCUAAUGCCUAUUCAGUGUGGCACUCUAAUGGUGCAAAGCAUUAAGAGGAGGUUAACUUGCAGCACAGAGACAAAUUGCUCUCCAUAUACUCACUGCUUAAGGGAUCUUGAGAAAGAAUUUAACCCUUUUCUCUCAUCUACCUGGGUUUCCACCUCAGGAUCUCCAUCUGAUCCCACCAGGCUCAACCAUUUGUCAUGAGCUGAACUCUGCUUUCUUAAGUCUAAACUGCAUAAUUGACUUCAUCGUGCAACUUCGCUUCCCAUUCUCCUUUGGAAUUCUGCAGCCCUUUGGGAUUUCUUUUUCCUGGGAAGGCCUGUCAUGAAAGCCAGUUGUUUCCUACCAGACUCUGUUAGAAAUGCCAGAAUGAAUUUAUUGGUUGUUUCCCUUCUAGCGGUUGCAGGAGAUGUGGUGAUUUAACCGCACAGUUAUUAAAUCAUUUGUUGCUUCUAAUGUGCUAUGAAGCCACGUGUGAGCUUUACUAUUAUUAUUUUCCUUAUCAUUGUAAACUCAGUCACUACUGCAAGUUCAUUAGGUGUCGUUAAUUGCUAACAACACAUUCAGAACGUAUGGUAAACGCAAUUUAAUUGAGAACUAAUUAACUUGUUACAGUUAUCUCAUUACAUGCCAAUUAAACUUUUUAACAUUCCUUUUCAGUAGAUAAAGGAAUGCUUAAAAUCCCAGGGACCUAAUUCAGGGCUGGUGUGAGGGGGUCAGCUUCGCCUCAGCCUGCAAUGUUUUGCUGACAGGGGUUUUGCUUUGCAACCUGUUUUUUUCAUAAGUCUAAAGGAAACCUAGGGAGUUCAGGUUUGAUGUUUUCUGAGAUAAAGGUGGCCAGAAAGUUUUGUUUUGCAUCUGAAUCAGCCCACAGUUUUGGUAAACAAACCUUCAGCUUUCCCGCAUGUAAGGGGUGGGCUAUUUACACACUGUGCCUGCUCCCAAGUCCGUAUGAAGGCAUCACUUGAUAGCAGGCUUUGGAUCAGCAUCGUUGUGUUGUGUAAUUUCACGAGACUCUGUGCAGCCAAGCUCCAGCUGAUUGCACACAAGAGUUCAAGGCAGCAUGAUUGACUGCGCCUGCCCCCCGCCAGCUCUGUGAUCAAAUCACAUUUGCCUAGUUUAUGUUUCUCCCCUUUCUCUGCGUGAAUGUGUCAAGCAAACAAAGGAGAGACAAGUAAUGGAAGAAAAAAAAAAAGCAAAGCCACAUGAGUACAGAGUGCUUCCAGAGACACAAAAUAAGCAGUUGGAAAAAACUGGGAACAAUAUUGCCUUUAAUCUCGAAGAUAACCAGGUGCAGACAUCCUAGAUGUUACUACUAACAUCUGUGGUUUAAAAAAAAGAAAAAGAAGGCAAGUCAACCUGUAGCUGAGUCAUUAAGUUCAGAGUGUCACUGCAAUGAGGGCUUUAAAAACAAACACAAAUCUUCGAAAGUAAGAAGGAUUUGAGUGCAGGUUGUUAAAGUGAGAGAUGCUUCUUUUGUCACCAUUGUAUCAAGGAACAAAGUCCAUACAGGGACUGAUGAUUGAUUUCUGUUUUAUCUGCUCACUUUAGUGACUGUGUGAGCAUAAGGAACAUGCGAGGAGGCAAGAGGGCACAUUUGGUGGCCAGCUACACUAGGUUUUGAUCCAAGCAACUUCCCCAGAUUGUGAAGCAGGAGAAAAACUAAAUCCAAGAGUGUGGCUACCAUUUCCAAGAUAUCUCAACACAACACCAUGAAAGCUACCUGAAGUGAAUAAAAACAGCAGAAAGCAGAGUAAGGGUGCUGGUAAAGGAGAAAUAAAGCCAGGGCAGGAAGACAGUGCAAGCUGGUUGUGUGUCCUUCAUGGUAAACCAGAGCAGUGGCUGUGAAUAUGCACCUUUCACUUAAACCACAGGGAAGAAGAGUGUUGACAAAGCACCCAUCUCAUGCUGCUCUUCCAGUAAGAGCCUUGCUACAGCAAAGGAGGUUGGAGAGGCUGUCCUCACCCAAAUUUGCCAAGGCGAAACUUGUCUGGAGGCCUUUUGUGUUCUAAGUUUGUUGAAUCCGAACAGCUACAUGCACCUUCCACAACCACUGUCAUUUCAAUUGACUGUACUCCUUGAGUGGAAAGGGUGGGUGUGAUGUAGUGUUACAGAGGUUAAUAGGACACGCCAGAAGUCUCAAGAACAAUUCUUCAGCUUUUCUAUCUGGGAUGUGCUAAGAUGGCAGUACUUGCAUGGUGAAUAUAUUUUUACUGUGCCUUUUUAUGAUGUUUUCAUUAUGUGCUUUUAUUAUGUGGUUAUAAGCUGCUAGCAUGGAAACAGGAGCGAUAAAGCUUGAUUGAUCAUUAUAUUCCCAUCUAUAAAUGGGAUUUUUUUUCUGCCACCAUGAACAACAGACAAGUUUGAUUGGGAUGCAAGUCCAAGCAUUAAGCCUAUUAAAUCCAGCUCCUCAAGUCAAAUCAGUGCUAAUGUACUCAAGCCUUCUUUAAACCAUCAGACCCUCAUCUUUGAGCAGCUGGAGAGGCAGCUGGGAGACUUGGUGCCCCGUGUCGCCCACAGGCCGUAUGGGUUCUGCCACUUCUGAAAUUCUAAAAGCUAGAGCUAAAUCUGGAAACAAAAAGGGUUUUCCCAGGCUAUUGCUUAGCAUCUUGUUUCUGAUGUGGUCCAAUUAUGCUGCUCUAAAAUGAGAGUUUUGUGUUCAUUUAGUGCUUAAUGAUUCACGAUGUGAGCAGCCUGGCAAGUACCUCCGAACACCCCACGCCCCCAUCGCUGUCCCCAUGGCAUGGUGCAGUCUCCAGUGUGCUGCUGCAGGUCCCACUGCCAACUGGUCCUGGGCUGGAAGAAAAGUGAGCCACGUGGGGGACAUCUGCCUACAGUGGUUUGAGCCAUGGCCAAGUAUUGGGCUCUUUAUCAGGAACUGUGGGUACGCAGCACCUCACAAAAUCAGGCUUUUAGGGGAGUUUGGUUCAUCUCCGUGCAGUUCCCUUACGUGCAAUACUGUUCUUUACAAAUGCUCCCAUCUGCCAAUGCAGGGAUUCAUCAGGCUGAUGAACACUGCUGCUGUUUCAGCUGACACAGAUUCUGCAUCUUUCUGAGCUGUACCAGAGGCCUAUUCUCUGCAACACUUCUUUCACUGUUCACCUACUAUGGAGACAGCAGCUUGCAGGAAAAUUUAUCUCCCGAAGAUGUCGGUGUGAGAAGAGGCUUUUCUCACACAGCCCUCCCAAACCUCCCUGCUGAGUCCUGCAAACAACCUGGUUGGACAGACGGACAGCGUGGGGAGGUAAGUGCUGGGAGAGGAAACACUCUGGCUUUCAGGGAAGCAAGAAAGGCAAAUCUUGGCAGAAGCAUUAAUUUAUUUAUUGAAAGAAGCAAGGGAAAUCCUUCUUGCUCUUCUAAAUACAACUCUCUCAUUCCCUGACUCCAGUCAUUCACAAAGAAAGGAAACAUUUCCCAUCCUCUGUGGAUUUAGUGCCUUGUGUUGCUUGCUAAAUAUACGCCAGCAUGCCACUUACUGCAGCGUGCAGGCUCGUGAUCUUUGCAUGGCUUCCUCCCCUCUAGGAAUGCCAUAAAUAAAUCACUAGGUCAGGAAGUCUGCUACAUGCCUCUGGUCUCUCUCCCUCAUUCUCUCUCUCCUUCUACGUUUGUACAGAGCGCUUAAACCUGCCAAGAGCAUUAUGUGCAGUCUCCCUUCUGAUGGUGUCUUGCUGCUCUAGGUGGAAUCCAGCAAUGGAUCAGUCCCUUGUAUUCCUCAUCACGAAGGAAACUGAUGAUCUAAGAUUAAAACAAAAACCAUAUUUAGGCACAAGCUGCACUGAAGUUUUCCCUUCCUGAGGGGCGUGCAUGGGGUUUGCAAAGAGGUGCCUUUCCAUGUGCAUGGUGCUGCACAGCCAAGGUCAUGGAUGCAAGAACUGUUACGUAGGAUUCAGAAUGGGAGUGUGACUGCAAUGCAUAAAGAGCUUUUUGGAUCAAGUGUAGGUGAUUUUUAUCUGGCUGUGUUCACGCAGAGGCAAGUUCUUACGUGAGUCCUGGGUGGAGAACUUCAGUUCUUGCUGGCACAGGUGGGGCUGAUCCAGGGCUGUGCUCCCUGCGUCUUCUAGCUGGAGAUCUUUGGGAAAACCCCUUUGCCUAGCUUUACUCUUUGAGCAAUUUCUUGAUUCUGAAGCCUGGGCAAUUCAGUCAGCAGCUCAGCACAGUACAAAGGACAUGAAGGAUGAGAAAUAUUAGUAUAAAAGAGGAGAAAAAAGCAUUCAUUAUUGAUGGGGGGAGCAAAAUGACAAUCUCUAUAGACAGAAAUCAAGUGCCUUUCUGGAGCUGAAAUGAGGUUUCACAUUAAAGGCCUUUUGCACAGCAAUUUUUACUUGGUAAAGAGAAGUGAAGAGAAUAAAAGGUUACGCUCUUUACAUACCCCUAAAGAUUUUGUCAUUUUGCUAAGUGGAACAUAUUGCUGAAUCUCAUGUGUUCCUUGCAGAAAAGUUCUCAUUUGCAAAGGGCCAUGUGUGCACACAGAAUUUAUUUUUUUUCUUUUUCUGCAUGUUUUAAUUGCUGUUGAAACCUUUAUGUUUCAACAAUGACUCGAGAUCAGAAUUUUCCCAAAGACUGCAAGAAGAUCAGGGGAGAGCAAGAAAGCUGUGUGCAGUUGUCACAGAAUCAUAGAAUCACGAGUUUGGAAAGGACCAACAAGAUCACUGAGUCCAGCUGCCUUCCUGUUACCAUUAUUACCACUAAGUUACUAAACCAGUUCUUCCCAGGUUGCUCUUCACUGCUGUGAUGCACUUCUGAGAGGUCAGUAGUGCUGCCUUCAUUUGGAUGGCCCCAAAAGAAGUUUGUCAAUGUAUCUGCUUCCUUCUUCACCUAUUUUUGAGUCACCUUCUCCAGCCUUUGUCUUCACAGAAUGGCCAGGGUUGGAAGGGACCUCAAGGAUCAUGAAUCUCCAACCCCCCUGCCACAUGCAGGGCCACCAAACUCCACGUUUAAUGCUAAACCAGGCUGCCCAGGGCCCCAUCCAACCUGGCCUUGAACACCUCCAAGGACGGGGCAUCCACAGCCUCUCUGGGCAGGACUUCACUUGGACAUCUCACGGGAGGGAGGUGAAUGAGCUUAUUGUUGGAGCUAGCUGCCUCAGGAUCUGGCUGGAAAAGAUGUAUCCAAGGGGUGCUCUACUGGAAGGGGAAGAUGGAGGAUGUUGAGCCUACAGCAUCAGCUCCUCCCUUCCUGCUAAAGGCCCUACUGGGGAAGAGACGACACACCAUGCUUCAUGGCAGUUGCCUGCCUUCAGGUAUGGAGGUUUCAUUGGGGAGCACACCCAGAGGCCAGCUUGUUGCCUAUAAUGAGGCAAUGAAAUGUUGCGACCCUGCUUUCUACCGGCUCCCAUCCAUCAUGACUGUUUAUCACACCCAAGUGCUGUUUAGCUGCAUAAAAUGGGCUGUAAACUUUGUUCACUUUGUCUGACAGCUAUGAUGAAGUUUGCGUGUGUUUUACAGCCUUACGGAUUGGAAGGAGAAAGGUCCCUUGAGACACCUCUUCCCGCUCCAGGUCCCACCGUUCAUCACAGCAUAGGCCUGGCCCAAUGGAUCACCUUCAUGGCCCUCCUCUGCUCACUCGACCUGCCUUUCUCGAUGAUGCUUCUCGCAUGGAUUAAAAACAUUUUAAAUAUGUAUCAUUUUUGCGCUCUCUGCAUAUCUGCGCCUUUCAUAUCCACAUCUUAAAUUCAUCCCCUCUCUGUCAGUUGUUUGUAAAUGUCCCCAGGUGUUUAACUCUUAUUCCCUCAAUCCUCCCAGCUAUUGUUGGCGAAUAUGGUUGUUACAUAUUCCUGCUAUUUCUGAAAGGUCAAAAGAAAAUGUAAAAGUGCCAUUUCUUUUCUUUUCUCCCUUCAAAGCCGCAAAAUGCAAUGCUGUGCUUGUGCAGUUCCCUUUGCUCUUAUGCAAAGACUCUUUUUCAGUACACCUUAUAUUGUAUUUACUGCAAGUGUUCAGGAUGCAAAAUUAUUUCCUCAAAUUAUUAGAAACGAGAAGCUGUAAUAGCCUUUUACUCUGUUUCAGAACAUACCUCUCUAUCACAACAGUCUAUUUUCUACACUUUGCUCUCAUCUUCCUGCAACCCAUCUUACAAAUGAGAUGUAAAAUUGUGGCUCUGGAUGCUUAUGGACCCAACCCUGCAGCAUUUACGCACCUGUUUAAGUUGAAUCAUGUGAGGUUUUCAUAGUGGAUUGAAUGUGUGGAAUGGUGAAUACUUGAACUAUGGCAAUUACUCCAAAGCAGUUUGCAGUUCUUAAAGAGCAAUGCAUUAAACUGGGAUGCGCUGCCUGCUCAUCAGACAGUUCUAGACAGAAUGCUGUAAAGGAUGGACUUGGAGCAAACGGAGAGUAAAAUGUGCUCCUGUGGUCAGUACCUUUAUGCUCACUCCUUGCUACUGCUAUUGUACAAGUCCUGAUCGUACACUAUUUAGCCCUCAGCAAUGCAACAGAAUCCCCAGGUUUUCACUACAGAGCUGCACUUGGGGAUGUUAACAAAGCCUCAUUAAUUGAUUACAAAACAGUUCGGCACGCUGCACUGUUCCUGCAUUGCCUACAGAGCUGGCAGCCUUCUUGCUCAAAGCCCAGCUGUGUGCCCAGGGUCCGGUCCUUGCCUUUAAAGCCCAACCAGCUGAAAGAUGACCUUUCUCCCUGACCUACAUCUUUCAUAGGAAUAAAGCAACAGAUGACUCCAAGCAGUACCUCACAGCUCUUUAUGCAAAACCCCUAGCAAUGGAGCUCCCCAGUGAAAGGCACUGAGCUUAGCUCAUAGCCCUCCCUGUGAGGGAGAUAGCUAAUAGCAGUGUUGCCAUUGCCUUAUGCAGGAGCAGAGUCAAAUCCCAGCAUGUCUUUUAACACCACUUACUCCUCAGCAUCUCAGCAAACCAGGCAUCCUUGCCCCUAAAAGAGCUUCCAUCCCAUCACACCAUGAACAAUCCCCACUUUUUGCUCAGCAUCCUUUGAGCUUUCCGUUCUUGCACGUCACCACCGAAACAGAAAGAUCAGACAAAAGAAGCUGAGCCACCACCUGGGACGAAGCUGAAAGAGAUGCAGGAGCAGAUAUCUCCAUCUGCAUUCUCGAGGAUUUGUGAGCAGCGGGAACCAGCUGCAGUGCUCCCUGAGAUGCAGGGAUCCUACAUCUCAGGAGGCCCCAGUGGCACCUGCAAGGUCACCCCUGCUCAACAUGCUGUGGGGCUCCAAAUAUGGUGAGCAAAAGGAGCCCGGAAAGAAUAAAGCAGAAGAAAAAUGAGCGUUUCCUCAGAUGUAUGCAGAAGGUAAAUUAUGGGGCUACUUAAAUUGUCUAAAAUCACUUUCUCUCCAGGGGUCUGAAUAUGUUCUAUUACAAAAGCUGUAUACUAGACUGUAAAUUUUCCAUACAAUACAGUGUAAUUGUACCACACUCACCUGUGUUGUAUUUUUUAACCUAUAACCGUAAGGCUGAUUUGGUCAUCUCC